Molecule: ribosomal RNA, 468 nt
Filed under: uncultured bacterium
Lineage: Bacteria
Description: partial 16S ribosomal RNA
Rfam family: Bacterial small subunit ribosomal RNA
Source: RNAcentral
GACGAACGCUGGCGGCGUGCUUAACACAUGCAAGUCGAACGGAAAGGCCCUGCUUUUGUGGGGUGCUCGAGUGGCGAACGGGUGAGUUACACGUGAGUAACCUGCCCCUGACUUUGGGAUAACUUCAGGAAACUGGGGCUAAUACCGGCUAGGAGCUCCUGCUGCAUGGUGGGGGUUGGAAAGUUUCGGCGGUUGGGGAUGGACUCGCGGCUUAUCAGCUUGUUGGUGGGGUAGUGGCUUACCAAGGCUUUGACGGGUAGCCGGCCUGAGAGGGUGACCGGACACAUUGGGACUGAGAUACGGCCCAGACUGGAACGGGAGGCAACGGUGGGGAGUAUUGCACAGUGGGCGGAAGCAUAGUGCGACAACGCAGCGUGCGGGAAGAGGGCAUGCAGGUAGUAAACCGCUUUCGCCUGAGACGAGGCGUGAGUGACGGUAAUGGGUAAAGAAGCACCGGCUAACUACGUG